This 236-nucleotide ribosomal RNA is filed under the name uncultured bacterium. RNAcentral's name for it is "partial 16S ribosomal RNA". It matches the Rfam family "Bacterial small subunit ribosomal RNA", at positions 28 to 245 of the family's 1533-position model. The record is from RNAcentral.
GAUGAACGCUGGCGGCGUGCCUAACACAUGCAAGUCGAACGAAGCGAUUUCUAGGAAGUUUUCGGAUGGAAUAGAGAUUGACUGAGUGGCGACGGGUGAGUAACGCGUGGGUAACCUGCCUCACACUGGGGACGAACAGUUAGAAUAGACUAGCUAAUACCGCAUAAGACGCACGGUACCGCAUGGUACAGUGUGAAAACUACCGGUGGUGUGAGAUGGACCCGCGUCUGAUUAGA